GAGAAGGAUGGCGCAGAGUUACUUGAAUUAUGUUAGCCAUCACUCCUGACCUGAUUCAACAGCAUGUUGAUGCCUUGAUGGCAAUAUUCCCUAGCAAAUUGAAAAGGAAAGAAAGCCUGCAUAUUAUACAAUUUAUUAAGCUGAAAACUUCCAAACCUUGAGACUUCAGUCCAUUACAACAUACCAGAAACAAGCUGGCGUGGGUACGACGUACUAGCAACAAGUCGGCACAGGUACAACAUACCAAGAACGGCACAGGUACGACAUAACAAGAACAAGUUGGCACAGGUACAACACACAACAGUGUCUCAAACAACAAAAUGUAAACUUCCAAAAUCAUCAGUCUUAGCUACAUAAGUUUGGUAUGCACACUCCAGCAUCUGGAUUUUGCUGUUCCUUCCAUAUCCUCCCAGUAACUCUCAGCUUAAGCUCCUU
Molecule: long non-coding RNA, 435 nt
Filed under: Fragaria vesca (wild strawberry)
Lineage: Eukaryota; Viridiplantae; Streptophyta; Magnoliopsida; Rosales; Rosaceae
Description: long non-coding RNA (FVES_LNC003909)
Source: RNAcentral